RNAcentral lists this ribosomal RNA (692 nucleotides) under uncultured bacterium. RNAcentral describes it as "bacterial SSU rRNA". It matches the Rfam family "Bacterial small subunit ribosomal RNA", at positions 44 to 715 of the family's 1533-position model. The record is from RNAcentral.
AUGCUUAACACAUGCAAGUCGAACGGAAACGACAAUAUUGAAUCUUCGGAGGAUUUGUUGGGCGUCGAGCGGCGGACGGGUGAGUAAUGCCUAGGAAAUUGCCUUGAUGUGGGGGAUAACCAUUGGAAACGAUGGCUAAUACCGCAUAAUGCCUACGGGCCAAAGAGGGGGAUCUUCGGACCUCUCGCGUCAAGAUAUGCCUAGGUGGGAUUAGCUAGUUGGUGAGGUAAUGGCUCACCAAGGCGACGAUCCCUAGCUGGUCUGAGAGGAUGAUCAGCCACACUGGAACUGAGACACGGUCCAGACUCCUACGGGAGGCAGCAGUGGGGAAUAUUGCACAAUGGGCGAAAGCCUGAUGCAGCCAUGCCGCGUGUAUGAAGAAGGCCUUCGGGUUGUAAAGUACUUUCAGUUGUGAGGAAGGGGGUAACGUUAAUAGCGUUAUCUCUUGACGUUAGCAACAGAAGAAGCACCGGCUAACUCCGUGCCAGCAGCCGCGGUAAUACGGAGGGUGCGAGCGUUAAUCGGAAUUACUGGGCGUAAAGCGCAUGCAGGUGGUUCAUUAAGUCAGAUGUGAAAGCCCGGGGCUCAACCUCGGAACUGCAUUUGAAACUGGUGAACUAGAGUGCUGUAGAGGGGGGUAGAAUUUCAGGUGUAGCGGUGAAAUGCGUAGAGAUCUGAAGGAACACCAGUGG